CAUAUUUAUGUGAUAACCCUAUAACUAAAUUCACAUAUCAGACUUCAGAGAUUAUUUAUAAUCAAUGAGAAGACUAUUUCAUGAUUCCUGAGCAUAUC
This is a small nucleolar RNA of Salvia splendens (bonfire salvia), 98 nucleotides long. RefSeq annotates it as small nucleolar RNA R64/Z200 family. The transcript has a single exon. Lineage: Eukaryota; Viridiplantae; Streptophyta; Magnoliopsida; Lamiales; Lamiaceae. The record is from RefSeq and is a predicted model, not a curated record.